CCACCCCGCCGCUGCAGCCCCUCUGGGUGUGCGCCCGCCUUUCCCUAGCCAGCACUGGGCGGCGGCGGAGGCUGCGGAAAGCCCCCUCACUGUGCGUUGAGCCUCCGCCGGCUCCUCCUCCUUCUCCGCCCCCUCCUCCUUCUUCCCGGGGCGGAGGGUGUUCCCCGAGUUUCCAAGGCACUGGCUCUAUCUCCCGGGGCCUCUCCUCUGGCUGGCCGGGCCUCCUGCUGCCCACAGCAGCCAGGGGAGCCGGAGGGGCUGCUUCAGCACCAGCAGCGGGUGGACAGCUCCCGGCACCGUGCCUUUGCGCGCCGCCUUCUCCACCCGCCUCUGCCUCCCUGGGCGCUGCCCGGAGUUGCCCCCGCGCUCCGGGUCUUGUUGCCCUGCUGCAGCUGAGCAGAAUUGAUUUUCUUGCUGGCCCCCACCAGGGACCGGCUGGCAGCGGUUGUCUGUCUGACCGAAUUGUCCCUGGGUCUGGCGGGUGAUUUAGCUCGCUGCUGCUUUCUGCCACUGCCCUCCUGGAGCAGGAGCGCCUGAGUGGCGGAGGCGGCGGCAGAAACCGCGGCUGUGGCAGGGGCAGCGCCCCGGUCGGUGACUGACUCAUAUGGCCGUCUAGGAAGAAAACCUAUCGGAUGCGAUUUGGAAUCGUCCAUCACCAGGUCAUCCUCUUCCCUCUUCAGCGCCACCAACCUUCCUUUCAAAACGGGGACAGAAACAAAAGAAAGGAAGCACACUGCGUGUCUGUGUUGGUACAGAGAAAAGGGUGUUUUUUCUGUGCAAGAGAAGCCCCUGAAAAUGGGAAGAUUUGGAAGACGCUAACUAGAAGAUUUUCUUUUAAUGGAGGGAAAAGGACCAAGCCUUGUUUCUAGGAAUAGGAUGCAGAGCUGUAAAAGAGCUGCUUUGCCCAGGGGGGCGCUGUCUCCAUCUCAACAAAAUGGUGAAUAAAUGGUGAGAGACCUGAAAGCAGGCACUGUCCAUCUACUGGAGCUUCCCUGGACAUCUGACCCCAGGAGAAUCCUGCAAAGGCAGAGGUGCUUUCCUUCAAGAGGAAAAACCCAGCUCCACAGG
This is a long non-coding RNA of Choloepus didactylus (southern two-toed sloth), 1068 nucleotides long. RefSeq lists it as uncharacterized. NCBI's taxonomy places the organism in Eukaryota, Metazoa, Chordata, Mammalia, Pilosa, Megalonychidae. The record is from RefSeq and is a predicted model, not a curated record. The transcript is spliced from 2 exons.